CCCGGGAGUACGACCCAGGGAAAACCCUGGGAUUAAUACCGGAUGAGACGGGACCCGCGAUGGCGGGAUCCGGGAAAGGCGCUGCGGCGCCGCCGGGGGGAUGAGUCUGCGUCCCAUUAGCUAGACGGCGGGGUAACGGCCCACCGUGGCGACGAUGGGUAGCCGGCCUGAGAGGGUGGACGGCCACAUUGGAACUGAGACACGGUCCAGACUCCUACGGGAGGCAGCAGCUAAGAAUCUUCCGCAAUGGGCGAAAGCCUGACGGAGCGAACCGCCGCGUGAACGAAGAAGGCCGUGAGGUUGUAAAGUUCUUUUCGGGAGGGGGAACAACCGUGGCAGGGAAUGGCCGCGGGAUGACGUGAAUCCCGGAAUAAGCCCCGGCUAACUACGUGCCAGCAGCCGC
This 403-nucleotide ribosomal RNA is filed under the name uncultured bacterium. RNAcentral describes it as "bacterial SSU rRNA". It matches the Rfam family "Bacterial small subunit ribosomal RNA", at positions 133 to 518 of the family's 1533-position model. The record is from RNAcentral.